Molecule: long non-coding RNA, 1767 nt
Organism: Peromyscus leucopus (white-footed mouse)
Lineage: Eukaryota; Metazoa; Chordata; Mammalia; Rodentia; Cricetidae
Exons: 8
Source: RefSeq, a predicted model, not a curated record
ACCAGCCACCACAAUGAGAAGCAACAUGUUAAUAUACUGGAAAUUUUUGGCUGCCAGUGCUGAGCUUGGAUAGAAAAUCAUAAUGGUUCUCCUUGGAUUAAAGCAUGAUGGUGCCCAUCAAACUGUGGUUUCAAAUGAAGUGCUGUUUACAUGCUGGGCAUAUCAUCAUCAGUAGACAGAUCAUCAACUGACCAUUGGCAGACCAUCAAUGGACCAUCUUUCUCCAUCAGCCUUUUGAGAUGUGUUGCUAGAUGAAGCCAUCUUGACUUAGCUCAGACCAUCUUAUAGAGCCUCUUCCAUUCACCUACCCUGGUAGAAGAUAAAGGCACAGCCAUGUCGACCAGAAGCCUGGGAACUGAGAACCCAUUAUCUUCUCUUCUUAUACAUCACUUCUGUUGAGAUAGUUUGCUACAUGUCUUGGGCCCCAGCCAAUAGAAGGAUGCCACCUAUAUUCAAGAUCAGUCUUUCCUUCCAAUUUAAACUUCUCUGGAAACAAUCUGAACUUUUUGUAUUUUCACAAUUGUAACCUUUGAUGGAUGGGGUCUUGUCAAGACAUCUAUUAUUAUCCAGAUGGAUCUCAAACAAAGGUUUGGUGCUACCCACUUUCAAGGAUAAUAGAUUGAUAAUUACAGCUAAAUCAUUAAAAUGCUCACCACAACAUCACUGGUGACUCAAAAAUCUGCAUUCCUGAAACUCCCUGGAAGACUUACUGAUAACUAAGCUGAACAGAGCAGUUGUUCACCCCAGAAAUUAUCACUGAUUUUGGAAAGGACUUAAUGUAAGUUUUAGGAACUUCCUGAGAUUUAUGAGUUGUUUAUUUCCAUGGCUUUGUUUUGUUGACAAUCUGAGUCUUAAAGAGUCUAUGUUUGAUGGGAUGUUUCAAUUUGGGGAAAACUGCUAUGCACUAAUAGUAAAUAAAUGAAGGGAAAUUAAAGUGUGGUUUCUCAGAAUCAUUUUAACUUAACAUCUGUAACACUGCCCUUCCUCAAAAUGUGAUCACUAUGCCCAGGUAUCAAAGAAUAGGACUUCAACUUUUAAAUUUCGGAGGGAUGUAAUUUAAUCUGAAACAUAUCUACAGUCCAGAGGUUUGGGGAAAGAAUGUGUCUUUCAUCAUUUGAGAUAAUUUACUCAUUUUCACAGAGAUUCUAGGUAUGUUUGAAGUGUUUUUUAAAGGGGGAGGAGUUAUGAAGGGGUUGUAUCUACUUCAUGAAUCAGAAUAUCAUGUGACAUUAUCCAAAUAAAACAGAAAUGACUACAUGUAGAGCAGUCUGAAUGCUCAAAGUGUAUUUGGGUGAAGGAGGCAUACAUUUUUUAUUUUUUACAGGCUGAAGGAUGGAUAAACUAAGAGUUAUUGAGGACCUUGUUCAAAGAGCACCUAUCAGAUAAGAAGCAUCUUUAGAACAGAUAGCUGGAGGUAAAAUAUGAGAUUUCUAAGGACUGUGGAAAGGGAGAAAGUGAUUAUGCAGAAAUAGACACUAUAUUUCAGCGUUAAGAUUAAAAGAUUGCAGGAGAUAAAUUAUCAUCGGUAAAAACAAACAAACCAACAAAGAUUAAAAUAUUCACAAGAAAGAGUCUAUUUAAAUUGUGAGCUCAUAAACAGUAGAAAAUUGAAAGCCUUCUAUUUGUCUCCCUGGUCCUUAUUCUUAAAGAGCAGAAAGCUGUUGUUAUAAUGAGAGUACUAUAACCAGGGCAGGAAGCUCCUCCUCAUCUCAUCCCAAGCCUAUCCUCACAGUGAGAACAGGGAGAAGGGCUCACAUCCUAAGCCUA